UGGGGUGAUUAAAAAAUUUAAUAAACUUUUUUUGUAAAUUUAUAUUGAUUAAUAAAUUUAUGAUCCAAUAAUUUUGAUUAUAAGAAAAAUUACCUUAGGGAUAACAGCGUAAUUUUAUUAAAGAGUUCUUAUCGAAAAUAAAGUUUGCGACCUCGAUGUUGGAUUAAAAUUUAUAUUUGGUGUAGAAGCUAAAUAAUUUAAGUCUGUUCGACUUUUAAAAUUUUAC
Molecule: ribosomal RNA, 226 nt
Filed under: Longitarsus obliteratus
Lineage: Eukaryota; Metazoa; Arthropoda; Insecta; Coleoptera; Chrysomelidae
Description: partial 16S ribosomal RNA
Rfam family: Bacterial large subunit ribosomal RNA (bases 100-226)
Source: RNAcentral